GAUGAACGCUGGCGGCGUGCCUAAUACAUGCAAGUCGAGCGAACAGACGAGGAGCUUGCUCCUCUGACGUUAGCGGCGGACGGGUGAGUAACACGUGGAUAACCUACCUAUAAGACUGGGAUAACUUCGGGAAACCGGAGCUAAUACCGGAUAAUAUAUUGAACCGCAUGGUUCAAUAGUGAAAGACGGUUUUGCUGUCACUUAUAGAUGGAUCCGCGCCGCAUUAGCUAGUUGGUAAGGUAACGGCUUACCAAGGCAACGAUGCGUAGCCGACCUGAGAGGGUGAUCGGCCACACUGGAACUGAGACACGGUCCAGACUCCUACGGGAGGCAGCAGUAGGGAAUCUUCCGCAAUGGGCGAAAGCCUGACGGAGCAACGCCGCGUGAGUGAUGAAGGUCUUCGGAUCGUAAAACUCUGUUAUUAGGGAAGAACAAAUGUGUAAGUAACUAUGCACGUCUUGUCGGUACCUAAUCAGAAAGCCACGGCUAACUACGU
Molecule: ribosomal RNA, 496 nt
Filed under: uncultured bacterium
Lineage: Bacteria
Description: partial 16S ribosomal RNA
Rfam family: Bacterial small subunit ribosomal RNA
Source: RNAcentral